This 239-nucleotide ribosomal RNA is filed under the name uncultured bacterium. Its description in RNAcentral is "partial 16S ribosomal RNA". It matches the Rfam family "Bacterial small subunit ribosomal RNA", at positions 15 to 236 of the family's 1533-position model. The record is from RNAcentral.
GAUCCUGGCUCAGGAUGAACGCUGGCGGCGUGCUUAACACAUGCAAGUCGAACGAAGCACUUUAAUUGAUUUCUUCGGAAUGAAGUUUUUGUGACUGAGUGGCGGACGGGUGAGUAACGCGUGGGUAACCUGCCUCAUACAGGGGGAUAACAGUUGGAAACGACUGCUAAUACCGCAUAAGCGCACAGGAUUGCAUGAUCCAGUGUGAAAAACCCCGGUGGUAUGAGAUGGACCCGCGU